This 951-nucleotide long non-coding RNA is filed under the name Carassius auratus (goldfish). RNAcentral's name for it is "lncRNA (ENSCARG00000004407.1)". Lineage: Eukaryota; Metazoa; Chordata; Actinopteri; Cypriniformes; Cyprinidae. The record is from RNAcentral.
AUGAAGAAUAAACACCAACCUCCUUGUUCCUCGUGUUUUAUUUCUGGUUCCUCGUGUUGUAUUCUCCAGGUUUCUGGUUCCUCGUGUUUUAUUCUCCAGGUUUCUGGUUCCUCGUGUUUUAUUUCUGGUUCCUCGUGUUGUAUUCUCCAGGUUUCUGGUUCCUCGUGUUUUAUUUCUGGUUCCUCGUGUUGUAUUCUCCAGGUUUCUGGUUCCUCGUGUUUUAUUCUCCAGGUUUCCGGUUCCUCAUGUUUUAUUCUCAACAUUUCUGGUUCCUGGUCUUUUAUUGUACAGGUUUCUGGUUCUUCGUUUUUUAUUCUCCAGGUUUCCGGUUCCUCGUGUUUUAUUCUCAACAUUUCUGGUUCCUGGUCUUUUAUUCUCCAGGUUUCUGGUUCCUCGUCUUUUAUUGUGCAGGUUUCUGGUUCCUUGUCUUUUACUCUCCAGGUUUCCGGUUCCUCGUGUUUUAUUCUCAACAUUUCUGGUUCCUGGUCUUUUAUUGUGCAGGUUUCUGGUUCCUGGUCUUUUAUUGUGCAGGUUUCUGGUUCCUCGUCUUUUACUCUCCAGGUUUCCGGUUCCUCGUGUUUUAUUCUCAACAUUUCUGGUUCCUCGUCUUUUAUUCUCCAGGUUUCUGGUUCCUCGUGUUUUAUUCUCAAAAUUUCUGGUUCAUCGUCUUGUAUUGUGCAGGUUUCUGGUUCGCUCGUGUUUUCUUCUCUCUCCGAUUUUACAAACUCCAUCUUCACAGCAGCAGAUCUCAGUUCAGAUGAUAAACUCCUCCAGAUAUUCCUGCUCGCUUCAAAACUCAGUCACGACUGUGAGGACGAGAAUAUUACAGCGCCUCCCGCUGGACUGGAGCGAAGCGAAGAAAGGAAGAAAACCCAGGACGUUGUAAGGAUGUCGCCAGUUCGUCAUCAUUUAGCCCCAAGAGGGUCUGGCUGCAGACAUAUGGGCGAGUGA